Molecule: non-coding RNA, 31 nt
Filed under: Mus musculus (house mouse)
Lineage: Eukaryota; Metazoa; Chordata; Mammalia; Rodentia; Muridae
Source: RNAcentral
UAGAUAAUCUUUAAUUUCUUCAUUUCUUCCC